RNA transcript from Salvia splendens (bonfire salvia), 1813 nucleotides. RefSeq lists it as uncharacterized. NCBI's taxonomy places the organism in Eukaryota, Viridiplantae, Streptophyta, Magnoliopsida, Lamiales, Lamiaceae. The transcript has 7 exons. The record is from RefSeq and is a predicted model, not a curated record.
UGUUGCAAAAGCGCGGGAAAAUCAUACACUCUUCUCAUAUCUCAAUGGCCAUAGUUGAUCAAUUGAAUCGAAUCGGUGGUUCCCAAUUUAGAGUUUUAGAACUCGCAGAAUCAGAGAAUGGGUUGGUCGUACCCUGAAAUAGCAAUUGAAGAUUUAAUGAAGUUGAUCAAAAACUACAUUGAUAUGUUGAUUCUGGCGUCUGGGUAUCAAUCAACCGGCCGCCUCGCGAAUUGGGACUCCAAUAACAUCAACAGAUCAUUCCAAUGGGCGCUCUUUCUAGAGAAUGUGAUGAAGGCACUACUCAGUUCAGCUGAUUAUGAAGAAUCUGUUGAAGAGCUUGAUGCUCUUUUACAUGAGUUAACAUUGGAUCCUAAUUUUCCUCAGGGUCUCGCUCAUUUGUCAUGUGCGAUGCUGGUUAGAGCGAAGGAUCUUGUGUUAGAGCAUCUGAUUCAUACCUUUCCCCUGAGGGAAUCUCAUUUAAAAGCUGUAGCUACAGCAUCAGUUGAGAUGGACAUUAGCAAUCUUAAGAGGAGGGAAAGCAAUGGCCUUGAUGUUUAUCUUGAAAAAUUAAUGCUGCUUCCCUCAAAUGGACCCAACUUAAAUGAGACCGCUAUCCAGAAACUUGGGAUAAGGCAAUCUGCAGUAUCAUGCUCAACUGUAGCGGAGGCUGUGUUGGAAAAUAUCUGGAAAACUCUAAGAACAAAAAUGCAUGAUGAGCUUGGGAGUACGUCAAACUCAGAGCUGCUGAAGCAGUCCACAAUAGGCGAGGAGCUGCCACUUGAAUCAGAUUACUGGAAUCACUGGAGAGCAAGAAGCCUGUCAUAUAUGCUUGAUAAGCGGACCAUAAGGAUGAUAUCUGGUGCCAGCCUGAUUUUUUCUGCACCAGAAGGCCAAUGGACUCAAGUAUUUGAACGAUUAAAUCUCCCAGCUCAGAAUGAUGAUAUCAGUGAAAUGAUAGAGCUCUUGUUGCUAGGAUGUGUAGCAAAUAAAUGGAGCGCUCUACUUGAGCAUCUGAUGUCUGUUUCAUAUGAGUUCCCUGCCAUAUCAAAGCUCUAUCACGAAGUGAUCAGCUUACCACCAGGAAAGUCUCAGAACUUUUUUCCGAAUGAGGGCCUGAUGAAUUCUAAGGUGAUCAUUCCUGGCAUUCUAUCCAACUAAUACUGAAUAUGAUGUUUAUGGAUGGAUUUUUUCACUUAGUGGAGUGCCUUCUGCUUGAGUCUAAUUUUUUUGUUAGAACCCCUUUGAAUGAUGAAAAAAUACUGUCAUACCAAUUCUAAUGUUCUAUACAUGUGGAUCAAUGUGCAUUGUGAUUGAAAAGUGAAACUGGGUUCACUCUUGUCACUGGACCUUAAACAUUCACUUGUUUGCUUUCUGUACCACUGUUUGUAAACUGGAAAAAUGUGACAGUUUCAUAUUCUCAGAUGCUGCACUAUGCACAUUGAGAUCAUAGAGUUAUUCAAAGUGAGUGGCUUCUGACACCCAAUAUGUUUUUUCAGCUCACUAGAAGCAAAAUUGUGUAAUGUUGUAUACCUUCUUGCUUGGUGUGCUAACCCAACGCUUAAGUGUUGUUUCCUGUAGAUCCUCAUUUGACUGUGUUACUGUCGGCAGCAAUCAUUGAAUGUGCUCCAAGGAAGAAUGGAUAUCUCCCAUUUUGUGUUUAUAUGUCCCUCAAGCUCCAUGGAGUAGUUAAAUUCCAGAAAAAAGUAUUGUUGACUACUUAGAAGUUUUAAUAAGCAGUAAAGUCAAUCAAUUGUGGCAACUCCCCCCAGUCCUUGCAGCAGUUGCAAUUCCUUCAUGGUCAAAGUUGUUCAGA